Non-coding RNA from Pelobates cultripes (western spadefoot toad), 311 nucleotides. The record is from the annotation of a GenBank genome assembly. Lineage: Eukaryota; Metazoa; Chordata; Amphibia; Anura; Pelobatidae.
AUAGGAAGAAAAUUAAAAGGCAAUGAAAAAUUUACAUCUAAUAUAAAAUAGUGCAUAGUGAAGGAUCACUCCAGGCCCCAUAAAUACUUCAUCUCAAGUGAGUUAUUAUGGGGUCUAGAGGUCACGGGCACAAACUUCCAUUAUGGGGUUAAACUGUCUUGUAGUGGCUUAACUCCAAAGUUCUCGCAUGGCCCCUCUGCCUCUUCCGACCCUGGCAAUAAUGUGAGAGCAGUAUCUGGCACUUUAUAUAUAUAAGCUGAAAAUAUAAGAGGCAUAUAUACUUAAGUUCCUAUUCUACCUCAACGUUCCAG